Colias croceus (clouded yellow) is the source of this 635-nucleotide long non-coding RNA. RefSeq lists it as uncharacterized. The transcript has 3 exons. The record is from RefSeq and is a predicted model, not a curated record. NCBI's taxonomy places the organism in Eukaryota, Metazoa, Arthropoda, Insecta, Lepidoptera, Pieridae.
AGCAGUUCGCGCGUGUCGCUCCGUGUCGGUUCUCCCUGUGACUUCCGACCGUUCGCAGUCGCACACGAAUAUUUUUAGAUAACAGUGCGAACGAUUUAUUCGCAAGUUAGUGAUCGUGCGCACUUUUGUGGAUACGGGUACCGGUGCAUGCGGGCGCGUUGCGAACGCGAAGUGGCGGGCCGGGCAGGCGGUCGGUAGCGCUCGAGCUACCGCGGCGGAGACGUCCCGAUAGCUCUGGCAACACUACAACAUUACGCGCUAGGCGAGCGAAUUUGGGACAAUGAUCAGCUAAAUUUUUCAUCCGACGUCACCGUAACAGAGAUCGGGCAUUAGAUCGGGGCGAUGCUUGGUGGCGAAUUCCGGGCUAAGUCAGCAUGAUGUCAUGGCGGCUUAAUGGGAGCGUCCCUACACGUCAUAUUCCAUUCCUGCCGCAUACUUCGGCCAAUCGAGUGAUGACAAAUUCAUUCCUAUUCCUCUAUUGUGCCUCGCUGUUGUGUUUAUUACGAAUCUUACAUGUUGUUUGUCAGUUCAUUUUUUAAAGUCGUUAAUCAUUUACUAUUUUCUAAGCGUAGCUGUCGAUAUAAUAAGGUAUUUUAAGAUAUGAAGAAAGUUGGAAGAUCACAAGAAGCCGAAGC